AUGGACUUGUGCUCCCUGCCCCCAUGGUGCUGUGCUGGACGCGUGCUCCGCGGCUCCUCCUCCACGGUCUCGCACGGGAAGGGCGAGGGCGAGUCCUGGUGGCUGAUGCGUGUGGGUGCCAAUGUGGUGCCUGUUAAGAUUUCCACUGAUUUCUUCUCCGUUCAAAAUUGUCUAGCCAGCAACCUCUCUGCCUGGUUUCCAGUGAUAGUUGACAUCAGGAAGAAACUCACAAAGUUCAGUAAUGCCCAUGUUAAGUACACUAGCAGAAACAAAAACAUGCUGGCUCACCUCCUAGCUGCUCGCGCCAGGAGUCACGGAAAUAUGCAAAUGAUGGCUGGGCGUACUAGAUGA
Molecule: ribosomal RNA, 351 nt
Filed under: Triticum aestivum (bread wheat)
Lineage: Eukaryota; Viridiplantae; Streptophyta; Magnoliopsida; Poales; Poaceae
Description: partial small subunit ribosomal RNA
Source: RNAcentral